This 206-nucleotide non-coding RNA is filed under the name bacterium YEK0313. The record is from RNAcentral.
UUCGUAGUGGACGUCCUCGGUGCUUCCCUGACGGGAAGUGAAACGGGAAUGCGGUGCGCGCCCUCCAGCGGGCGCAAUGCCGCGGCUGCCCCCGCAACUGUAAGCGGAUAGCGCUCUUCGACACACCACUGGCCACGACCGGCCGGGAAGGGGAAGCGGCGCGUCACCCGCGAGCCAGGAGACCGGCCGAGGAUCGCAUGCAACCC